CAGUCGCCGCGGGAAUACGAAGGGUGCAAGCGUUACUCGGAAUUACUGGGCGUAAAGCGUGCGUAGGUGGUGGUUUAAGUCCGUUGUGAAAGCCCUGGGCUCAACCUGGGAAUUGCAGUGGAUACUGGGUCACUAGAGUGUGGUAGAGGAUAGUGGAAUUUCCGGUGUAGCAGUGAAAUGCGUAGAGAUCGGAAGGAACAUCUGUGGCGAAGGCGACUAUCUGGGCCAACACUGACACUGAGGCACGAAAGCGUGGGGAGCAAACAGGAUUAGAGACCCGCGUAGUCCCUGUCUCUUAUAC
This 301-nucleotide ribosomal RNA is filed under the name uncultured bacterium. RNAcentral's name for it is "partial 16S ribosomal RNA". It matches the Rfam family "Bacterial small subunit ribosomal RNA", at positions 509 to 807 of the family's 1533-position model. The record is from RNAcentral.